RNAcentral lists this ribosomal RNA (567 nucleotides) under Triticum aestivum (bread wheat). Its description in RNAcentral is "partial small subunit ribosomal RNA". The record is from RNAcentral. Lineage: Eukaryota; Viridiplantae; Streptophyta; Magnoliopsida; Poales; Poaceae.
AUGGAUCGAGGGGACUGUUACUGGGCUGUUAACAUCUGGUAUUCAGAGCCAUUGAUGCACACCCUGGCGCAUCUGAUCGAGACGAGGCUGCAGAAAUCGAUCAAGGAUCGACUCAGCGCCAUGGAUCCGUCCUUCAAAGACUACUUCGACAAGCUCACCAACUCUCUCGACGCGAUCCACUCCGACAUCCGCUUCCACACCGCCAAGCUGGACGAUCUAGGCCAGUGGCGCCCCGAUCUGGAGCGGCGUGUGGAUCAGCUCUCAACGGCUGUCGCCGAACUCCAAGCGCGACCUGCAAUCACCACGGAGGAGCGGCCGGUGGAGGCACCAGCGCCACCACCACCCGCACCACCAGCGCCGCUGCGUGACCACGUUGGCACCAGCAAGCGCGCGGAGGGCGACGCCCUCGGGUCAAUCGACCGCGGCAUCGACGUCCUACCACAGGGUCUGGCACCGGCGUUCGCGUCGGUGGCCACCCCGGCCAACGGUCAGUCACAACUCCCCGUCUCAUCUACCAUCGCAUCUCCAUAUGCGCAUGCCAGCCAACUUCUCGCGGGAAUUGGCUAG